UGGGGAAUAUUGGACAAUGGGCGCAAGCCUGAUCCAGCAAUGCCGCGUGUGUGAAGAAGGCCUUCGGGUUGUAAAGCACUUUUAUCAGGAGCGAAACGCUGUCGGCUAAUACCCGGCGGAACUGACGGUACCUGAGGAAUAAGCACCGGCUAACUUCGUGCCAGCAGCCGCGGUAAUACGAAGGGUGCAAGCGUUAAUCGGAAUUACUGGGCGUAAAGCGUGCGUGGGCGGUUUCUUAAGUCUGCUGUGAAAUCCCCGGGCUCAACCUGGGAAUGGCAGUGGAUACUGGGAGGCUAGAGUGUGUCAGAGGGUGGUGGAAUUCCCGGUGUAGCGGUGAAAUGCGUAGAGAUCGGGAGGAACAUCAGUGGCGAAGGCGGCCACCUGGGACAACACUGACGCUGAGGCACGAAAGCGUGGGGAGCAAACAGGAUUAGAUACCCUGGUAGUCCACGCCCUAAAGCGAUGCGAACUGGAUGUUGGUCUCAACUCGGAGAUCAGUGUCGAAGCUAACGCGUUAAGUUCGCCGCCUGGGGAGUACGGUCGCAAGACU
Molecule: ribosomal RNA, 550 nt
Filed under: uncultured bacterium
Lineage: Bacteria
Description: partial 16S ribosomal RNA
Rfam family: Bacterial small subunit ribosomal RNA
Source: RNAcentral